CACUGAAAACCCUUUGUGUGCGUCAAACACUGUGUCGUGUCUCAUUGAAAUAAGACCAUGAUUUUCAGUGCAUGACACCAGGAAGUUUCCCGUGUAUACGUCCCUGGGUACUGAUCCCCGCAUCCGAAGGGAGAAAGGACAGUCUACACGUAUCCUUGACUCCGGCUAACUCAGCCUGGAAACUCAGAUGAACGAAGAUUCCUGUACACAUGAUAGAGAUAAGUUUAGUCCCUCUGUGAAAACUGUCUCCAUCAAGUGAGGAUAUAGACAUGGCCACCCUUCUCAGCCUUGCUCUGUUUAUCGGGGUAUUUCACAGCUCGGAUGGAAUCCUAUGCUAUGUCUGCGGCGCGGCUGGAGGAGAGGGGGAGUGUAUUUCUGGGUUCAGUUCCUUCGUGAAUGUCUACAAACUUAUAAAGAACAACAACACUAAGCACGUCAACGACCGUGGCAGCCGCUCUCCUGGUUACGUGGACUGUGCCACCUUCCCCAAAAAACCUAUGUGCAUGAUUGAAGAAAUUCGAGAGAGUAAAACCAGAAAGAUCCUCAGUUACAUCCGGGGCUGUUCAGAUGGCAAGACCUUCUCGUUUGACCUUGCGCCUUUGAAAGGCCUGGGCCCCUCAAACUCCUCGACCUGUGGGUUUGAGACCCGGGGGUUCCAGGCCUGUGUCACCCUCUGCGACUCUGUCGACCUAUGUAACGGACCAUCAGGAGCCAACAGAUCACACCUUAGUAUGGCGCUGUUUGUCAUUUGUCUCGUCGUCCUAAAGAGCACACUUCAGGCGUUUUAGUAAGACGAUUGGACAUUUCACUUGAUGAGAAUGUCAAAUGGCUUGACUAACCGGGACAAACCAAAAAAAAUCUCAAUUUCACAACCUCACAUGUAUGUAUCCCAAAGUGGCUUACAUACAUACCAAAGAACAACUGAAGUCCUCGGAUCAGUUGACAGCCCUUGCAAGUUGGAAUCAGGUCGCUCAAAGCCAUUUGUUUGUCUACUAAAUCCAACUGCUAUGAUUAUGAUAACUCCUGCUGUGAUGAAGAUCAUUCCAGCAGUUAAUCAUCAUUACCAUAAUUAUCAAUUUAUUAUUACAUAUCCGUCAAUCUCUAGAUCUCGGUUGGUUCUGGGCACGAGGUCGUUGAGCAUAGCCUCUCUCUUAAAUUCAUGCUGAUGUUUAACAUCAGUUUUAUUGUAGUGGAGUUUGGAAUAGCCUGCUAUUUCAGAUUGCCGAUCGUGACAGAAAUACCUUAGUCAUCACAAAUAUGAAAUGGAACCGACGCAUUUUUAACUGCAUUUUAAUAAUGCCAUGAAACCGAGGCAUUUCAAAACAUUUCUACUUAAAAUAUAUAUGAAUACAUAUUUCCAUCGGUUGUUCUCAGUGAUUCGGAGGAACCAGUGAUAGAAGCGGUGAGACUAUAAACAGAUCCGCCAUAUCUCACUGUCGAAAUGAACUAUCCUCUAUUUGUUAAAAUUAAGAAUGUAUGGCGCAAAAAAUCACAAGAUUUUAAUCAUGGUUUCUUUUGUAAAUUACUCCAUCAGCCAACUGUAGGUACUUUUAAUAAUAGACAUAUAUUUAAUUAUGGGGGAAAUCUGACUCCAAAGCGGAAAAUUGGCUAUAUAGUGUAUUUUCCGGGUGGGAAAUAUGGCCAUAUAGUGUGCUUUCCGUGGGAAGUAUGGCUAUAUAGCCAGUUUUCCGGGGGAAUUUGGCUAUAUAGCCCUUUUUCCGGGGGAAAUUCCCCUCUCUGACACCGGCACAGACAACAGUUUUUUUCAGUAAAUUGAACAGUGUUUCAUCGCGAAUUGCUGUACCGGCACAGAAAACAGGGUUUUUUCAGUAAAUUGAACAGUGUUUCAUCGCGAAUUGCUGUACCGGCACAGACAACAGGGUUUUUUCAGUAAAUUGAACAGUGUUUCAUCGCGAAUUGCUGUACCGGCACAGAAAACAGGGUUUUUUCAGUAAAUUGAACAGUGUUUCAUCGCGAAUUGCUGUACCGGCACAGACAACAGUUUUUUUUUGUAAAUAUAACAAUGUUUUAUCCGGAACAGUUUAUUGGCACAGAGGACAGAAUUCCUGUAAAGUUUUACAGUGCUUCAUGUAUUUGUGAUUCAUGUCAAAUGUUUAUAUCAAAAACAGAUGUGAUUACUGUGUGAUUUGGCGGGUUUCGUUUGUUGACUUUCAGUCAUGUUAUUUAUCUGAUCACAACAGUGUGAGAUAUAUUGAAAUGAUUAAUACAGUAAAUAAAACAUACACGUACAUGGUAUUUUUUUUUUAAAAGAAUAUAUGUUUGUAUUGCUUAGUAUAUUGUUAAGAAUGUCAGUUUAUACAUAGUUACAAAAUGUAUUGUAUAAUUAUUCUUAUAAUAGUAGUCAGGCGAGUUAACGUAUAUAGAGUUACCUCCCUUCGGUGCUUCAAUUGUUCAUGUUCCUUCAGGUUAUGGAUAAACCUUGCUCUUGAA
RNAcentral lists this unclassified non-coding RNA (2451 nucleotides) under Haliotis rufescens (red abalone). RNAcentral's name for it is "uncharacterized LOC124144998, transcript variant X1". Lineage: Eukaryota; Metazoa; Mollusca; Gastropoda; Lepetellida; Haliotidae. The record is from RNAcentral.